GACAGAGGGUGCAAACGUUGUUCGGAAUUACUGGGCGUAAAGCGCGUGUAGGCGGCCAGAUAGGUCCGUUGUGAAAACUCGAGGCUCAACCUCGAGACGCCGAUGGAAACCAUUUGGCUAGAGUCCGGAAGAGGAGAGUGGAAUUCCUGGUGUAGCGGUGAAAUGCGCAGAUAUCAGGAAGAACACCCGUGGCUAAGGCGGCUCUCUAGUACGGUACUGACGCUGAGACGCGAAAGCGUGGGGAGCGAACAGG
Molecule: ribosomal RNA, 253 nt
Filed under: uncultured bacterium
Lineage: Bacteria
Description: partial 16S ribosomal RNA
Rfam family: Bacterial small subunit ribosomal RNA
Source: RNAcentral